UGCGGCUGGAUCACCUCCUUUCUAAGGAGCACCACGAAAAGCACUCCAAUUGGUGGAGUGCAAGCCGUGAGGGGUUCUCGUCCGUAGUGGACGAAAGCCGGGUGCACAACAGCAAAUGAUCGCCAGACACACUAUUGGGCCCUGAGACAACACUCGGUCAAUCCGCGUGGAGUCCCUCCAUCUUGGUGGUGGGGUGUGGUGUUUGAGUAUUGGAUAGUGGUUGCGAGCAUCUAGAUGAGCGCGUUGGUCUUUAUGGCCGGCGUAAUCAUCGAAAUGUGUAAUUUCUUCUUUGGUUUUUGUGU
Molecule: unclassified non-coding RNA, 302 nt
Filed under: uncultured Actinomycetes bacterium
Lineage: Bacteria; Bacillati; Actinomycetota; Actinomycetes
Description: uncultured actinobacterium partial 16S-23S ribosomal RNA intergenic spacer
Source: RNAcentral